GAAGUGCGAUAAGCAAUGUGAAUUGCAGAACCGUGAGUCAUCAGAUUUUUGAACGCAAUUGGCGCCAGUUGGUUCUCCAGCAGGCAUGCUUGUUUCAGUGUCUAGUUUUCUCAUCACCCAAAUCUUAAUGUGAGAGAUACCCUUCUCUUACCAAGUUCGAAAGCACUCUGAGUUCAGCACGUGGCUUCACAAUUUGUGGAUCCUCACUCAAUGCAGCAUUCACAUUUUACAAUGUGAACUCAUUGAGAGUUGAGUCAGUGCGUGCAGCAAUGUCUGCAAGUGCUUAGAUCUCUGAACUCUUGUUGUAUCUGAAAUCAAGCAGGAUCACCCGCUGAACUUAA
This 341-nucleotide unclassified non-coding RNA is filed under the name uncultured fungus. RNAcentral describes it as "sequence contains ITS1". The stretch from base 1 to 103 matches the Rfam family "5.8S ribosomal RNA", at positions 50 to 154 of the family's 154-position model. The record is from RNAcentral. Lineage: Eukaryota; Fungi.